This 1313-nucleotide ribosomal RNA is filed under the name Protohermes infectus. Its description in RNAcentral is "16S ribosomal RNA". The stretch from base 1068 to 1227 matches the Rfam family "Archaeal large subunit ribosomal RNA", at positions 2542 to 2701 of the family's 2987-position model. The record is from RNAcentral. Lineage: Eukaryota; Metazoa; Arthropoda; Insecta; Megaloptera; Corydalidae.
AAGAAAUAAUUUAAUUAUUUUAGUUUUUAUAAUUAUUUUUAAUUUAAAUAAAUUUAAAUUUUUAAUUUUUUGUAGAGUUUAUUGAUCAAAUAAUAUUUUUUAUAGGAAAGUAGUAUUGAGAAAGAAUGUUGAAAAAUUAUGUUGUUUAUAAUAAAGUAAUAUUUAUUUUGUGUACCUUUUGUAUCAGGGUUUAUUAAAUAAAGGUAAAAGAUUUUAUAUUCUCGAAUUUAAAGGAGCUAAAUUUUUAUGAAAGUUUUUGUGUUAUAAAAAUUUUAAAUAGUAAUUUAGUAAUGAAAUGUUAUUCGUCUUUAAAGAUAUCUAGUUUUUUAAGAAAUAAAUUUAAUUUAUAUAUUAAUAAAUUAAUUUUUUAAUUUUAAAAUUAAUUAAUUAUUAAUAUAAAUAUAUCAAGGGAUAAGCUUUGAUUUAAUAAAAUUAUAAUAAAAUUGGAUAUUAAUUAAUUGUAGAUUUAGAAAUAGUUAUCAAUAAAAAAUUUGUAUUAAUUUAUAAAUUUAUAGAAAAUAUUUAUUUAAAUUUAAUUUUAGUAUUAAAAUAAAAAUUUUAAUUUUAAAAAUUUAGUAAUAAUGAUAAAAUUAGUAUAGUAUAAUUGUUUAGAUAUAAUUUAUAAAAAGAUUAUUUUAAGGAAUUCGGCAAAAAUAAUGUUCACCUGUUUAACAAAAACAUGUCUUUUAGAAUAUAAUUUAAAGUCUAACCUGCCCACUGAAUUAAUUUGAAGGGCCGCGGUAUUUUGACUGUGCAAAGGUAGCAUAAUCAUUAGUCUUUUAAUUGGAGGCUUGUAUGAAUGGUUGGAUGAAACAUUAACUGUCUCAAUUUAAUAAAAAUAGAAUUUAAUUUUUAAGUUAAAAAGCUUAAAUAAAAUUAGAGGACGAGAAGACCCUAUAGAUCUUUAUAUUUAAUUAUUUAUUUUUAAUAUAGAAAAGUAAUUAAUAUUAAUUAAUUAAUUAUUUUAUUGGGGUGAUAGAUAAAUUUAAUAAACUUUAUUUAAUAUAAACAUUUAUUUAUGAUUAUUUGAUCCAUUAUUAGUGAUUAAAAGAUUAAGUUACCUUAGGGAUAACAGCGUAAUUUUUUUAGAGAGUUCAUAUCGAUAAAAAAGUUUGCGACCUCGAUGUUGAAUUAAAGGUUAAUUUUAGGUGUAGAAGUUUAAAGUUUUGGUCUGUUCGACCAUUAAAUCUUUACAUGAUUUGAGUUCAAACCGGCGUGAGCCAGGUUGGUUUCUAUCCUUAAUAAAAUAAAAUAUUUUAGUACGAAAGGACCAAAUAUUUAAAAUAUUUUUUAAAAUAAAGAAUAGUAUUAAU